Molecule: ribosomal RNA, 253 nt
Filed under: uncultured bacterium
Lineage: Bacteria
Description: partial 16S ribosomal RNA
Rfam family: Bacterial small subunit ribosomal RNA
Source: RNAcentral
GACGGAAGGUGCAAGCGUUGCUCGGAAUCACUGGGCGUAAAGGGUGCGUAGGCGGCCGUGCAAGUCUGGCGUGAAAGCCCCGGGCUCAGCCCGGGAAGUGCGCUCGAAACCGCGCGGCUCGAGUGCCGGAGGGGAGAGUGGAAUUCCUGGUGUAGCGGUGAAAUGCGUAGAUAUCAGGAGGAAUACCGGUGGCGAAAGCGACUCUCUGGACGGCAACUGACGCUGAGGCACGAAAGCGUGGGGAGCAAACAGG